GACGAACGCUGGCGGCGUGCUUAACACAUGCAAGUCGAACGGAAAGGCCCUGCUUUUGUGGGGUGCUCGAUUGGCGAACGGGUGAGUAACACGUGAGUAACCUGCCCUUGACUUUGGGAUAACUUCAGGAAACUGGGGCUAAUACCGGAUAGGAGCUCCUGCUGCAUGGUGGGGGUUGGAAAGUUUCGGCGGUUGGGGAUGGACUCGCGGCUUAUCAGCUUGUUGGUGGGGGAGUGGCUUACCAAGGCUUUGACGGGUAGCCGGCCUGAGAGGGUGACCGGCCACCUUGGGCCUGAGAUACGGACCAGACUCCUACGGGAGGCAGCAGGGGGGAACCUUGCCCAAUGGGACGACGCCUGAUGCAGCAACGCUGCGUGCGGGAUGACGGCCUUCGGGGUGUAAACCGCUUUCGGCUGUGACGCAGCGUGAGUGACGGUAAUGGGUAAAGAAGCACCGGCUAACUACGUG
This 468-nucleotide ribosomal RNA is filed under the name uncultured bacterium. Its description in RNAcentral is "partial 16S ribosomal RNA". It matches the Rfam family "Bacterial small subunit ribosomal RNA", at positions 28 to 507 of the family's 1533-position model. The record is from RNAcentral.